RNAcentral lists this ribosomal RNA (521 nucleotides) under Bifidobacterium longum subsp. suillum. RNAcentral's name for it is "bacterial SSU rRNA". It matches the Rfam family "Bacterial small subunit ribosomal RNA", at positions 159 to 695 of the family's 1533-position model. The record is from RNAcentral. Lineage: Bacteria; Bacillati; Actinomycetota; Actinomycetes; Bifidobacteriales; Bifidobacteriaceae.
GGUGGUAAUGCCGGAUGCUCCAGUUGAUCGCAUGGUCUUCUGGGAAAGCUUUCGCGGUAUGGGAUGGGGUCGCGUCCUAUCAGCUUGACGGCGGGGUAACGGCCCACCGUGGCUUCGACGGGUAGCCGGCCUGAGAGGGCGACCGGCCACAUUGGGACUGAGAUACGGCCCAGACUCCUACGGGAGGCAGCAGUGGGGAAUAUUGCACAAUGGGCGCAAGCCUGAUGCAGCGACGCCGCGUGAGGGAUGGAGGCCUUCGGGUUGUAAACCUCUUUUAUCGGGGAGCAAGCGAGAGUGAGUUUACCCGUUGAAUAAGCACCGGCUAACUACGUGCCAGCAGCCGCGGUAAUACGUAGGGUGCAAGCGUUAUCCGGAAUUAUUGGGCGUAAAGGGCUCGUAGGCGGUUCGUCGCGUCCGGUGUGAAAGUCCAUCGCUUAACGGUGGAUCCGCGCCGGGUACGGGCGGGCUUGAGUGCGGUAGGGGAGACUGGAAUUCCCGGUGUAACGGUGGAAUGUGUAGAU